RNAcentral lists this ribosomal RNA (253 nucleotides) under uncultured bacterium. Its description in RNAcentral is "partial 16S ribosomal RNA". It matches the Rfam family "Bacterial small subunit ribosomal RNA", at positions 524 to 776 of the family's 1533-position model. The record is from RNAcentral.
UACGUAGGGCGCAAGCGUUGUCCGGAAUUAUUGGGCGUAAAGAGCUCGUAGGCGGUCUGUCGCGUCCGUUGUGAAAACUCGAGGCUCAACCUCGGGCUUGCAGUGGAUACGGGCAGACUAGAGUGCGGUAGGGGAGACUGGAAUUCCUGGUGUAGCGGUGGAAUGCGCAGAUAUCAGGAGGAACACCGGUGGCGAAGGCGGGUCUCUGGGCCGAUACUGACGCUGAGGAGCGAAAGCAUGGGUAGCGAACAGG